RNAcentral lists this ribosomal RNA (253 nucleotides) under uncultured archaeon. RNAcentral's name for it is "partial 16S ribosomal RNA". It matches the Rfam family "Bacterial small subunit ribosomal RNA", at positions 524 to 775 of the family's 1533-position model. The record is from RNAcentral.
GACAGAGGAUGCAAGUGUUAUCCGGAAUUACUGGGCGUAAAGCGUCUGCAGGUUGUUUAUUAAGUCUGUUGUUAAAUCUUGUCUCUUAAGGGCAAGGCGUGCAAGGAGUACUGCUAAGCUAGAGACUGGAAGACGUAAGAAGUACGUUUGAAGUAGCGGUAAAAUGUGUUAAUCUCAAGCGGACUCACAACAGCGAAGGCAUCUUACGAGGACAGUUCUGACAGUAAAGGAUGAAGGCUAGGGGCGCGAAGUG